UACGUAGGUGGCAAGCGUUAUCCGGAAUUAUUGGGCGUAAAGCGCGCGCAGGCGGUCUCUUAAGUCUGAUGUGAAAGCCCACGGCUCAACCGUGGAGGGUCAUUGGAAACUGGGAGACUUGAGUGCAGGAGAGAAAAGUGGAAUUCCACGUGUAGCGGUGAAAUGCGUAGAGAUGUGGAGGAACACCAGUGGCGAAGGCGGCUUUUUGGCCUGUAACUGACGCUGAGGCGCGAAAGCGUGGGGAGCAAAC
RNAcentral lists this ribosomal RNA (250 nucleotides) under uncultured bacterium. Its description in RNAcentral is "partial 16S ribosomal RNA". It matches the Rfam family "Bacterial small subunit ribosomal RNA", at positions 524 to 773 of the family's 1533-position model. The record is from RNAcentral.